RNAcentral lists this long non-coding RNA (527 nucleotides) under Physcomitrium patens. RNAcentral describes it as "long non-coding RNA (PPAT_LNC009092)". The record is from RNAcentral. Lineage: Eukaryota; Viridiplantae; Streptophyta; Bryopsida; Funariales; Funariaceae.
UCAAGUUCUAUAACGAAUUUACAGUUGAACUUUGUUGUAAAAGUUGAUAAGAAUAUAUUAGUACUUUAUGUAAAAUUUGACUAAGUUUGGAUAGUCAGAUCAGGAGUUAUGAGGUAUUGAAGUUUGGAAAAAUUCCACGUAAGGAUAUAUAAGGAUUUAGAGGAUUUUAUCAUAUUUUGGGUGUUGGUUACUUGAGGCUUAUGUAUUUGGUAUAAUUGAUCCAAAAGAGGAAUUUUAUAUAUAAACUUAGGGCUUCCCUUAUUUUGAAGCUUGAUUGAGCAAUUAGUGAUAGCUAAGAACCUAAUGCUUUCUUGAAGAAAAUUCUCUCUAUUCUAAUAACAUGAAAUAGAAGGUGGAUCUUCAUAAACUCCGAUAGAUGUAAUCGAUAAGCAAUAGGGUUGAUUUAUUCACAAAUAAAAAAAGGUCCUAACCUAUAAUAGUCCAACUUAUCACAAGGAUGAAUAGUCUUGAUAUUUUGACAAAGCAAUCAUACCUUAUCACUUAUAUUGAAUUGUGGUUGCUACUUA